This 497-nucleotide ribosomal RNA is filed under the name uncultured bacterium. RNAcentral describes it as "partial 16S ribosomal RNA". It matches the Rfam family "Bacterial small subunit ribosomal RNA", at positions 28 to 507 of the family's 1533-position model. The record is from RNAcentral.
GACGAACGCUGGCGGCGUGCCUAAUACAUGCAAGUUGAGCGCUGAAGGUUGGUACUUGUACCAACUGGAUGAGCAGCGAACGGGUGAGUAACGCGUGGGGAAUCUGCCUUUGAGCGGGGGACAACAUUUGGAAACGAAUGCUAAUACCGCAUAAAAACUUUAAACACAAGUUUUAAGUUUGAAAGAUGCAAUUGCAUCACUCAAAGAUGAUCCCGCGUUGUAUUAGCUAGUUGGUGAGGUAAAGGCUCACCAAGGCGAUGAUACAUAGCCGACCUGAGAGGGUGAUCGGCCGCAUUGGGACUGAGACACGGCCCAAACUCCUACGGGAGGCAGCAGUAGGGAAUCUUCGGCAAUGGACGAACGUCUGACCGAGCAACGCCGCGUGAGUGAAGAAGGUUUUCGGAUCGUAAAACUCUGUUGGUAGAGAAGAACGUUGGUGAGAGUGGAAAGCUCAUCAAGUGACGGUAACUACCCAGAAAGGGACGGCUAACUACGUG